GCUGGUAUAUUAGAUGGAUAAUAAAGUACCACAGAACUUAGUGGCUGAAAAGAACAAGCAUUAAUUAUCUCAUGGUUUCUGUAGGUCAGGGGUUGGGAGUGGUAUAAGCCAAAUGGCUCCGGCUCAAGGUCUCUCACUGGAUUUCAGUCGGGAUGUUAGCAAGGACUCUGAAGGUCUGACUGGUCUUUCAUGAUGGUUCACCCAUGUGGCUGUAGGCGGGAGGCCUCAGUUCCUUGUUAUUGGGUUCUCCACAGCGGAUCGAGUGUCCUCACAACAUGGCAGCUGACGUCCUCUAAAGGAGCCCAAAGAGCAAGUGAGGCAUGCCCUUUAUGACCUCAUCUCCGAAGUGCACCUUGUCAAUUCCACUUACUCUCCCUAUUAGAAGUGAGUUACUGGAGUUCCCGUUGUGGCUCAGUGGUUAACGAAUUCGACUAGGAACCAUGAGGUUGCGGGUUCGAUCCCUGGCCUUGCUCAGGGGGUUAAGGAUCCGGCAUUGCCGUGAGCUGUAGUGUAGGUUGCAGAUGCAGCUUGGAUCUGGCGUUGCUGUGGCCAUGGCAUAGGCCACAGCUGUAGCUCCAUCUGACCCCUAGACUGGGAAUUUCCAUGUGCCAUGGGUGCAGCCCUAAAAAUAAAAAUAAAAUUAAGAUAAACUUAGCUGUUGGGUGUUGCUGUUGGUAUCUUUCUUGUUUCCUUUCCUCUCCUUUGUUUUCCUUUCCUUUCCUUUCUUUCUACCAUCCAAAAGUCAGGAGACAUUUGCUGUCUCACCAGAAGUUUCCAGCCUAUGGCCAGGAAGAAGCACACCUACCCUCUAGAUCUCUCCAAAACAUUUUGGGAAUGUGCGAGCCAGUCAAACACCUUUCCCUGAAUUAUUUUGAAAAUAAAACCUGCAGGCGGGAGGAGAUUAUCUAGAGCGAAAAAGGAAUGUGCAAAGUGAUGGGGAAAGAAACAGAGAUUAGAAAAACAGAGUCUCCAGGAAAUACAGCCUUCUCUGCAAAACAGUGAUGUGGCAUGGAAUAAUGUGGGUUCUGAGAUAUUUUCAACUGUUUAAAAAAAGAAAUGACUGCAGCAUCAGGGAAGACCCAUUUGUCCCUUGUAAAUAUCAAUUUGCCCAGCUCCCUGUCAAAGAACCAGGGAAGAAUCACAGAUCCUGGAUGGAGAUGCAGAUCCAGAUGGAGAAGGGGGUGGGGAUGGAGCCUCUACCUGGACAAGGUGAACUGCAAGGACAGGGACAUGAGGACAGAGGUGAGCAGGAUCCAGUAAGCGAGACCCAGGUGGCGCUGCCAGAGUGUACACAGGAAUGGGUGGGGGUGGCACUAGCUCUGAAACAUUGUCUCCAUCUGCAAAAUGGGCAUAGUAGCCAUAUUUUGAUUCAAAGUAAUUAUAAUUCUCCAAAGAAACAGAACCAGUGGGAAGUAUCUACAUAGAGAAGGAGGCUUAUUAUGGAGUUGUGGCACCGUGUAAAUGAAUUCGACUAGUAACCAUGAAGUUGUGGGUUCGAUCCCUGGCCUUGCUCAGUGGAUUAAGGAUCCGGCGUUGCCAUGGGCGGUGGUGUAGGUCGCAGACACGGCUCAGAUCCCUCAUUGCUGUGGCUGUGGUGCAGGCCGGCAGCUGUGAUGGAGAGCAGGACCAGAGCAUCGGGGCUGUGAGAACAAGUGACAACUCUGGAGCUCCCUUGUGGUGCAACGGGUUAAGGAUCCGGUAUUGUCACUGGAGUGGCUCGGGUUGCUGCUGUGCUCUAGGUUCAAUCUCUGGCCCAGGAACUUCCCCCAGGUCGCAGGCAUGGCCAAAAAAAAUGAACAAAAAGAAAAAGAGACAACUAGAAAAGACGAAAUAUAGGCCUACAGAGUGAGGGAAUGAGGCAAGGUCUGGCGAGUCAGUGGGCUCUUUCUCCGAGGAGCCAUGUUGGAGACAAUCCAGCCUUGUUUCCUUUUUUUUUCUUUAAUUUUUUUUUUU
Molecule: long non-coding RNA, 1953 nt
Filed under: Sus scrofa (pig)
Lineage: Eukaryota; Metazoa; Chordata; Mammalia; Artiodactyla; Suidae
Description: lncRNA (ENSSSCG00000061244.1)
Source: RNAcentral